This is a long non-coding RNA of Capsicum annuum, 1660 nucleotides long. RefSeq lists it as uncharacterized. The record is from RefSeq and is a predicted model, not a curated record. The transcript has 6 exons. Lineage: Eukaryota; Viridiplantae; Streptophyta; Magnoliopsida; Solanales; Solanaceae.
AGUUUCAAAUUACUUGUGUUUACUAUAAUUUUUAUGGAUUCUGAAUAUUAGAAUGAUUGACUAUUGAUCUGUGAGUAUGAGUUGAUAUUUUUGAAUUUUGAAACUAAAAAAUAUUUUCUUCAGUGUUAAUUUGGUGGUUAUUUUCUUAUGAGUAAAUUAUUUUUUAGAAGAAAUAAUUUACACUUCAAUUUCUACAAGUCAGAAUUCAGAACAUGCAUGUUCUAGAAGAAAUUGAAAGAAUGCCUAUACCUGAUAUCUUUCUGCAAUAUGCUAAAUAUCCGACACCUAGAGCUCUUGAAUAGCAAAGGGCAAUCUUAUUCUAGUAAAUAUAGUUCUGGAUUUACUAAUGGACCCAAAGGGAUGUAGUGUAAGGACCAAUUUCUUGGUUUCAUCUUUGGCCAAUAGGUCCUUAAGCUUUUCCUGCCUUUGGUUCAAGGAAGGCAGGCAGGUUGAGAUGAUUGUCUCGUACCAUUCUUGAGCUCUUUAGACCUCCAUUUAGUUUUGGUUUCUUUAGUUCUUUAGUCGCUUCUUUUACAUGCGUCUCAUGUACCUUCUUCAUGCCUUUGCCUUCGUUAAUAUAAAUCUACCAUUUAACCCAUAAUAUAAUGAAGAAGUUUGUUACCUCUUUUAAGUUUUAAGGCCUAUUAUCUGAUAUUAAUUGGUUUACAUGCUUUUAUCUACAGAAAUUCAAAAAUGGAAAGAACUUAGAAUAUAAGAUAAUGUCAUUGAACGAUAUCGUCAAAAUAUCGUCUUUGGACUGUAUAUGUUGCAGAUGUCACCUGACGCUGUUGAAGUUGUACCCACAUAAUUUUGAGAAGUCUUUUCUUGAUAAAGCUGCAGCAGUGGCCGCAAACAUCGUGCAUAAUCUUGUUAAGCAGGCGCAGAGAAACCAAAUAUGAGCCUCCUAGUAAAGUAAGAAUCUUAGAGAGAUUGAUGGGACAUACAAAAAAGGAACUGAUAAAGUUCAGCAUCUUAUGAAGAAUCUUGCAGCAAGACAGCAAUCAUCUUCAGGAUUCAAGAAGGGGAUUUGGAUGUCGCUGGACAGAAACCUCGAAGGGUACUUUAGUUCAAGGGAGAAGCAGUUCUUAAACGAUAUUGUGGCAAAUGGUCGAAAUGGAAUUGAUGUGGACAAGUUUGAUUACAUCGUCAGAGAUACCCGAGCGUGUGCUCUAGGAUGCAUUUUUCAGUUUCAAAGGUCUUUUCUUUCAUCUUCUUGGUUAUCGUACGUGACAUCUUUUCACAAAUAUUGGAGUGAAAGAAAAAUAGUUCUUUACUAUGAAACUGGCAUCAUAUUCUAUAGGUUAAUGGAGACAAUAAGAGUUCUGGGAGACGAUAUAUGCUAUGGAGCCUAAGAUUGUUAGUACUUCAGUCUUACCAGGAUUUUUAUUUAUUUUGUUUGACUUAUUAUUUGUGUGGAUGAAUCCUCAGAUUUAACCAUCCACAAGUUAUUUGCCACACGAGCUGAUCUACACAGAACUAUUUAUACUCAUGCUAAAGUGAAGGCAAUAAAGCUUAUGGUUGUAGAUGCAGCAGUGAAAGCAAAUGAUUAUCUACAGAUAGCAUCCCAUAUAGAGCACCCUUCUCAAUACUGAAGGUAGGCAUGGUCUUUUUAUUAGCUUAAAUCUAAUCAAUUCACAGAACCAUUAAAUUAAUUUAUCUA